Molecule: RNA transcript, 6638 nt
Organism: Crotalus tigris (Tiger rattlesnake)
Lineage: Eukaryota; Metazoa; Chordata; Lepidosauria; Squamata; Viperidae
Exons: 3
Source: RefSeq, a predicted model, not a curated record
UUCUGUUACUGAUCUUGUAAAACCACAACAGUCCCUGGGUUCCGCAUGUCGACAACGCGCAAGGACCCGCGCAGAGUUUGCAAAGUGUCCGCUCCGUACCCGGGCUCGGGGGAGGGAGGCGAGAAGAGUUGGUGCUGAGCAGCUGCGUAGUUGAUAGUUUAAGCCGCUGUGGUUUGUUGCUGUUUCCGCGGCGUCCUCUUGGCCGCUGCUAGCCGGUCGGUCAGGCAAGCCAUAGCAUUUCGGUCCCCGGUCUCCCACACGCCAUAAAUCCCAGCCCCACCGGGAAGCAGAGGCGGAGGAACAUAGGCGGGUGACGGCAGGCUGCAGGACCGCUGCGAAGGCGGGAGGCCGGCCAGGGAGUGACCAGCACGUGGAAGCAAGCGAGCGGCCCCCCGUACCUCAGCGCGGCUUCCCUUUUGGGAGGGAACCGACGCGGAGCACCGCUAAACACCGUUGCCGGCAUUGAAGAUGAGAAUCUCGGCUGCUGAAAAGGACGCCGCCUUCCUCCUCUUUUUUUUUUUUUUUUCUCCCACCCAGUUGCAAAGAAGGAAUAGCGAGGGACGGUCGAGAGCCGGGACGCUCCGAGAGAUGAGGAGACGGGAAAGAGGAUGGAGGAGCUCGAAGACAGAAAGUAGAGCCCGGCUGGAACUGCCCCAACCUCUCUCAGCUUCUCCUCCCCCCUCCUUGGGGAAAAGAGGGCAGACGAGGCUGUUCCGAAGAGCGAGGGGCAGGAGUCCGCUCCUGCCAAGAGCCGGAGCUGUUUGCAAACAUCGCCAGCCGGGCGCUCCAAGCGGCAGCUUUCUAGCCAUAUGCCAGCGGUCACACUUCCUCCUCCAGCUGGCGACUGCGAGCGCCGAAGAGGCUGCCUGCCUCUUCUCGGGCACCAGAAGAGCGAGCGGCGUCCUCCCUCCAGGGGGCCUCCGCGCGAGUGGGGGCGUGGAGCCUAUUGGAAGUGAUCCGCGGCGCCUGACCAAAGCUGAUGGAAAGAAGGCGCCCAGAGAAAUAAGGAAACCUCCUCCAAGGUAAACUCGUAGUAGAGCUGCUCUGAAACAAAUGGGCUGCAAAAAUGCAUUCAGUGUAUCUGUGGUUAAUGACUCUUCAAAUUAGCUUUCCUAGGCCAAGAAAACUGCAGGACUUGUUGGAGAAUCGGACAGCGAUUGAACAGAGGGAAAAAAAUACUAAUAGGCCAGAAAGGUAUAUCAUCAUCAUCAUCAUUUAAAAUGUACUGUAAACAAAAUUUACAGAACUUGAUCGUCUAAUUUUAACAUUGUUGUAAUUAUUGUUUUCAAAAAGCAGGAAUAAAUCUUAGAAGUUUAAACAAGUGAAUCUUACUAAAAACAAAUAUUAUUGAGAUCUUGACAGAGCUAUGUAUCCAGCUUAACAGCUAAACAAAUAGGUCUAAAAUAUUAAAAUGAUUAACAGCUAAACAAAUAGGUCUAAAAUAUUAAAAUGAUUAACAGCUAAACAAAUAGGUCUAAAAUAUUAAAAUGAUUAACAGCUAAACAAAUAGGUCUAAAAUAUUAAAAUGAUUCCAAUAUUAAAAUGAACCCAAGAGUAUUUUAUUCUUCAUCAGACUACAUGAAAACGGGAGGGGGAAAUAGAGAAGGAAUAUCUACAGUAGCAAAUAUUAAAACUGUCCUAUCUGCAUUUAUUUAUACUCUUAAGAAUGGAAUAUGGGAAACUUUAUAGAUAGAAUCUCUCGUCUUCCAGUUGCACAUAGGACUUUGAAAUGCAAACAGUGAUAAAUGACCCAUGCUAGUCAAAGUACCUAAUUUAAAUGUUUACCUUCUCCCACAUUUCUAUUUUAAGGCUAUGAAUGAAUACAGACACAGUGGAUACAAUAUUGUUCAGCUUUCCUCAACUAUCUGCUUCCUUUACUGUCCAGCCUGAUUAGGAGUUCUAGAGAACACUGUAAAGAUUAUUUCAAGAUAUUUUCUUUUCCUUAAUAUAGAUUUCCUUACUUACUAUAUUUGUAUAUGGGUGGCUACUUUGUGUAGCUCAGGUGUGCCAUGCAGAUUUGGCCAAUUUCAUAUUUCUGCCCAAAGACCCUUUUUGUCCUUGAAAUCCAUAACAAACCAACAUACAUGCUGCCUGUUGCAUGUAUCCCUUAAAAAAGUAAUUAUACAGGAGAUAUAUGCUUCUUUCUUAAUUAAAUCAGCUUCAGAAGAAAUCCAGAAGAUAUUCUCACUUUAUUGGAUUCUUAGUAAGAAAUGAGUAUCUUAUAGGUGAUGCAUAAAUUUUAAAUCACUAAAAAUAUAUAGUGAUUGAACCAACUUUUAAAAAAAAGCUUUUGCAGGUAUUCCUCAUUUACCACUGUCUUGUUUAUAGAUUGUUUGCAUUUAUGACAGUGAUGAAUAAGUAACUCACAUUUAUGAGUUUCACAGGUCUGUAAAGCAAAAUAAAGCUAAAGAUUAUGAGCACAAUUGUGGUUUCACUUAGCAGCUGCUUCACUUAAUGACCAAAUAGGUGGUCCCAACUGUCACUAAAUGAGGAUUAUUUGUAUUACCAUGCUUCCUCACCCUCUUUUUUACUUCUCUUUCUUUAAAUCCAGAGAGGCAGAUAUGUAGAAAUAAAUGCAGCUAUAUGUAUUUUCUAAUGUGUAUUGUGCUUUUAUUAUUGUAUAAACUUUUGGAACUAAAAGUUCCACUCAUUCUUAUAAUCAUGUAUACCUAUCCAAAUCAGAGUUGAGUUUUAGAAGAAUCAAAGGACCUUUUCUGUCAUGCACCUUGUUCUAUGAUGGCUUUGAAGAAGUAAAGUUUUCAUAUAUAUUUUAUACUUCCCAACAAGGUUUGAUCAGUCUGUCAAAAUUUAGCUAGUUACAUUUUGGCCUUUUUCUUGCACCACCUGAUAUUUUUCCAAUUGAGUGUCAUUGCUUUACCCAGUUCAAAUGGAAUAAUCUGUUUCUUUGAUAACUACAGCUCAUAUCUUCAAAGUCUACAUUCUGGUACUUUUUUCAAGACGUAUAAUUUGAAAGCUUCCUGAGAAACCUUUCUUCUUCCAUGUCCUCCUCUAGAAGGAUCUCAUGUAUGCUUAUCUUUCAUAUACAUCUGUUUAUAUAAAUAUUCUAAUACUAUAGUAUUUCUCUACAUCAUGGUAUUACACCAUCAUGGGCAGUAUCUACUAGUAACAGUCUACUAGCAUUAACAUACUGAUUCAUGUUUAAUUAAUCAUGUUAUAUAUCUUAAUGGGGGCGCAAUGGCUCAGCAGUUAAAGAUGCUGAGCUUGUCAGCUGGAAAGCUGACAGUCCAGGUUUGAGACCCAAGCAUUGUGCGAUGGGUGAGCUCCCGUCUUGUUCAGCCUCCUGCCCACCAGCAGAUUGAAAGCAUGCACAUGCAAGUAGAUAAAUAGGUAUCACUUUGGUGGGAAGGUAACAGCAUUCCAUGUACCUUGGUGUGUAGUCAGGCUGGCCACCAGACAAUGCUGCUCCCCUCAGCUAAGAAAUGGAAAUGACCACUGCCCCAUAGAGUCAGACAUGACUGGACAGGGGAAACUUUUACCUUUUUCUUUAUAUAUGUUAAAUUCUAACAGAGAGAUCUCUAGGAGUUUCCUUUUGUAGAUUUUGUAGUGUGAUGUUUGAUUAAUUCUGGUUCAUAAAUAUGUAUAGUGUAAUUUUACAUUAGUGUAAUAAAAUGAUUUGGAGGUCUUUAUGCCUGUCUGAAAGAUAAUUUAUAAUUCUAGGAAAUAGAUAUUGAUGAAACAAUAUCUUGUUGCAAAACUGUUACUUUUUGGCAAGUCUCCUAUGCUUUUUACAACCUUGUAAGAAACUGGUUGCAGAUUCAAAUACAUCAUCUCUGUUGUUCAGUAUUAAGAAAAUUCAUUACCCGAUACAUGUUAAGAGCUUUCUUUUACAACUGCCUCCCUUUUUUUCUUCCUGAAAAUAUAAAUAAUUGCAUUUAUAAUUGUGUAUACUGCAUAUGUGCACGCACACACCCAUAUAAUAAUAUAUAUUUUAUUAUCCAAGUGCAGACAUUUUCUUUUUGCUACCACAAAACUCCUUUCUUAAAAAUUAUACUUUCUGCAAAGCAGACGGGGAAAAGAUAUUUUGAAUAUUGGCUUGAAGAUUGGCUAAGAAUGCUCAUUACUCUGCUGGAUGCCGCUGCACCCUGUCUGAAGUGCUUAGAGAGAGAAAUCAAAAUUCUUCCCAGGAAGUUUAAAUAAUCUCACUUUGUUGCAUCAGAUGAAUUAAAAAAGCUUGCCAACCAGGAAGCGGAGAAAGCAUAUUUAUGGCAUCAAUACCAUGUUCAGCUUUUGUACAUCCAAAGCCAAUUGCUAGUUCUUUUUGAAUAAGAGUGACAGUGAACUGACUUUGCCUAGUUGUACCAACAUGGAAUUUUUAGUUGAAGCUUGCCUUAAAAAAAAAAAAAUUAAAAUGUUGUAUCCGAUUACUUUUAGAAAGAUACAUCUUACUAGACCUUCUGGUUCUCUGAAAAUGCAAAGAUUAAUUCUUGAAUAAAAUAGUUGCUUACAAAUAUUCAUCAUGGUAGUUUCCCUUUAUAUUAUGAGAAUAGCGUCAAAGAAAGCAUUAAAGAUAUUCCUGCCUAACAACCCCCCCUCCGCGCUCUCUCACACACAAAGUGAAAAUCUGUUGCCCAUUGUGUUUAUUGUAAGACAUGAUCUGAGAGAACUAAGAAUUCUCCUGCACAACUUUUUGAUUCUUUGAAGGAAUACUAUAUACUUUGAAACCAUAAAUGUUUUCAGCUCGACCACUCCAAACAUCCAUCUAGCUUGCAAUCUCUAAACCCCUCUUAGGUAGAGCAAAUCAUGAAAGCAACUGAAGGCUAAAAGUAUUUUUUAUUGAGAUUAGUUAUACUGUAAUAACAGAAUCUUGAAAAUCUGACUUGUGCUGUUAUCUCCUCCAUUUUGGUGAAUUAGGAAGGUAUCUGCCUGACUUGUUUUAUGAACAUUAUCUGGUCAUUCUGAACUUUUUUUAAAAAAAAUGCUUCAUUCCCCCAUUCUCCUGGCCUAGGUUUUGCAUCUCUCCAUCAAGAUCAUCUUCCUUAAUUUCUAUGCUAUUCUGGAUGUUGCUAGACUUUCAUAAUUAAAGAUUGGAAGUUUUUCUCAUUAUUUGUGAAAACAUACACCUUGCCCCCAAACCAAAAUGCCACAUUUUAAUUUUAUGGAAUAUUUUUCUUAACAAGCAGAUAGUUUUCAUCUGGACAUUAUCAACAAUAAUAAUGACAACUGCUGAUUGACCCCAAUCUUUUAGUGAUACAGUUGUGCCUUUUGUUUUUGUUUUUCUAAAAAAAACUUCAGGAGAGUGGCUUGUAUGAUUUAAUUGAUAUUGUGUGAAGAGUUACUUUGAAACCAUUAUCAACUAUUUCCUUAGAAUUGAUGCCUAAUAAUUCCAUUAGAAAAUCUGUAGUUCUAAUAUGAUGGUAUGAGGAAAAAGUCAUUGCUGCCAUAUUUUUUUAAAUGUCAUAUUUAAUGUUUAUCUUCCAUGAUACAAACAAUAUGUUUUUUACGGGAAAUACAAUUUCAUCUGCUUGAUUAUACCAAUUGCUCUUUUUUAUACUUUUAAUAUAGUUUAGUAUAAUAAAUUAAUUGAAAGUUGUAGAAGAUUAUCUGUAAACUGUAUGGAGAAUUGUCAAUCCCAAGUUAUAGAUGGCUGCACUAUAGUCUUACAAUAUAUUCAGUGUUACAUUUUAUUCCAUUGGUGCAUCAAAGUUCUACUUUGAACGUUCCCAGUGGCAGAAAUGAGACAGAUUAUUUUCUUUCUCAGUUUUUGCUCUUAAAGCUUCCAGCAAGAGUUCCCAGAAGAGUUGAACAGGUUUCAGCAGGGGAAUGGAGGGAGAGAUGAGGAAAAAAUGAACACAAAUUGAUUGCCAAUGAAAAUGCUGUUAGGUUAGAAGGUGGAUACAAUCCAUAAUGUCAUGCUUAUUGUUUUAUUUUUAGCACUUCUCUAAACUUAGCUUCAUACAACACUAGGAGAUAUGAUUUCUUAAUAUAGCCCAGUAUUAUGUGAAUCCAGGCAUUCCAAUUUGUAAAUCAUGGUUUUUAGCUUAGCAUAGAAUGUGCAAUCUGUAUCACUCAAGUGGUUAUACCUAGUUAAACAAGCAGCAGUCAAGCACAACAUACAGCACAGUCUAAUAUUUGUAAUAUUUAGUUUAAUUUUUUUACAAAUAUCAAUUUAUUGCAGAGUUUAAAGAAAAAAUAAGUAGAAGGCAGAGUCCAUAUAUCAGUCAAUUAAACUGCUCCAAACGAAAGAGCCACUUAUUUAUUUAUUUAUUUAUGAGACUUAUAUACCGCUUUAAGUGCAAGCACUCUCUAAGCGGUGUACACCAGUAAGCAAUGUAUAUAUAUAUUUACAUUGCCCCCAACGAUCUGGGUCCUCAUUUUACCUACCCCAGAAGGAUGGAAGGCUGAGUCAACCUUGAGCCGGUGAGAUUUGAACCGCUGACCUGCUGAACACAGUCAGCUAAAGUGGCCUGCAGUAGUGCACUCUAACUGUUGUGCCACCUCGGCCCAAGAGCUGAUGUGGGAAGUACUUUUCCAGAAGAAAAUUACAGGUGGACUUCGCUCACUGACAAUGAGAACAAGAGAGUAAGAAGAUACAGCGUUCGAACUCAAACUGCCCUAGAGCCAAAUAAAUAUGCUGAAAAAAAGACAAUGCCAGUUUAUUGAAUAACAGAGGUGAUGCA